This 505-nucleotide ribosomal RNA is filed under the name uncultured bacterium. RNAcentral's name for it is "partial 16S ribosomal RNA". It matches the Rfam family "Bacterial small subunit ribosomal RNA", at positions 28 to 507 of the family's 1533-position model. The record is from RNAcentral.
GACGAACGCUGGCGGCGUGCCUAAUACAUGCAAGUAGAACGCACAGUUUAUACCGUAGCUUGCUACACCAUAGACUGUGAGUUGCGAACGGGUGAGUAACGCGUAGGUAACCUGCCUGGUAGCGGGGGAUAACUAUUGGAAACGAUAGCUAAUACCGCAUAAUAUUAAUUAUUGCAUGAUAAUUAAUUGAAAGGUGCAAUUGCACCACUACCAGAUGGACCUGCGUUGUAUUAGCUAGUAGGUGAGGUAACGGCUCACCUAGGCGACGAUACAUAGCCGACCUGAGAGGGUGAUCGGCCAGACUGGGAGUGAGACACGGCCCAGACUCCUACGGGAGGCAGCAGUAGGGAAUCUUCGGCAAUGGACGAAAGUCUGACCGAGCAACGCCGCGUGAGUGAAGAAGGUUUUCGGAUCGUAAAGCUCUGUUGUAAGAGAAGAACGGGUGUGAGAGUGGAAAGUUCACACUGUGACGGUAUCUUACCAGAAAGGGACGGCUAACUACGUG